RNAcentral lists this ribosomal RNA (478 nucleotides) under uncultured bacterium. RNAcentral's name for it is "partial 16S ribosomal RNA". It matches the Rfam family "Bacterial small subunit ribosomal RNA", at positions 28 to 523 of the family's 1533-position model. The record is from RNAcentral.
GACGAACGCUGGCGGCGUGCUUAACACAUGCAAGUCGAACGGUAAGGCCCUUCGGGGUACACGAGUGGCGAACGGGUGAGUAACACGUGGGUGAUCUGCCCUGCACUUCGGGAUAAGUCUGGGAAACUGGGUCUAAUACCGGAUAGGACUCCGGACUGCAUGGUCUGGGGUGGAAAGCUUUUGCGGUGUGGGAUGGGCCCGCGGCCUAUCAGCUUGUUGGUGGGGUGAUGGCCUACCAAGGCGACGACGGGUAGCCGGCCGGAGAGGGUGACCGGCCACACUGGGACUGAGAUACGGCCCAGACUCCUACGGGAGGCAGCAGUGGGGAAUAUUGCACAAUGGGCGCAAGCCUGAUGCAGCGACGCCGCGUGAGGGAUGACGGCCUUCGGGUUGUAAACCUCUUUCAGCAUCGACGAAGCGAAAGUGACGGUAGGUGCAGAAGAAGGACCGGCCAACUACGUGCCAGCCGCCGCGGUAA